AAUAGCCUAACGGCUGAACCAGCAAUUCGGAGGAAUGAAAAAAAGUAUGAAUUUCAUAUUUUUAGUGGUUUAUCCACAUAUAGUUCUGGGUAUAUAAUUGAUAAUGACAGUUUAUACCCAUUAGUCUUGACCAACUCACGUGCCAGCAGUCGCGGUAAUACGGGAGAGACAAGUGUUAUUCAUCUUUAAUAGGUUUAAAGGGUACCUAGACGGAUUAUUCAACCAAAAUCAAAUUUUAUAUAAAUUGAGCAUCUCAUAUUUUAACCAUUAUGUUUUGUGGUAUGACAAUCUAGAGUUUUAUGUGAAAGGAAUAUGUUAGUACUUAUGGAGUAGAGAUGAAAUUCUUUGAUACUAUAGGGCACUGGUAACGGCGAAGGCAAUCCUUUAUGUAAAAACUGACGUUGAGGGACGAAGGCUUGGGUAGCAAACAGGAUUAGGUACCCUAAUAGUCCAGGCAGAUAAUUAUGAGUGUUAUAGAUUAGAAUUUAUUUGAUCUAUAAAUGAAAGUGUAAGCACUCCACCUCAAGAGUAAUGUGGCAACGCAGGAACUGAAAUCAUUAGACCGUUUCUGAAACCAGUAGUGAAGUAUGUUGUUUAAUUCGAUGAUCCGCGAAAAAUCUUACCACAACUUGAAUAUAAUGAUGCAAAUGCAUAUGUGCUAUUUAUACAGGUGUUGCACGGCUGUCUUUAGUUAAUGUCGUGAGACGCAGGUUAGCUCCAAAAAAUUGACGUAAACCCUUACUUUAUUUACAGUUAUAUUAUAUUUAUUAUCAUAUAAUAUUUAUUACUAAAGUAGUUCUCCUAUACAUGGGAUAAGAUAAAAGGGAUUAAGACAAGUAAUCGCGGCCCUUAUGUUGU
This 858-nucleotide ribosomal RNA is filed under the name Lecanographa atropunctata. RNAcentral's name for it is "mitochondrial SSU rRNA". It matches the Rfam family "Bacterial small subunit ribosomal RNA", at positions 370 to 1210 of the family's 1533-position model. The record is from RNAcentral. Lineage: Eukaryota; Fungi; Ascomycota; Arthoniomycetes; Arthoniales; Lecanographaceae.